RNA transcript from Gossypium raimondii (Peruvian cotton), 1854 nucleotides. It is a transcript of the gene named RNA pseudouridine synthase 6, chloroplastic, with no coding region annotated. NCBI's taxonomy places the organism in Eukaryota, Viridiplantae, Streptophyta, Magnoliopsida, Malvales, Malvaceae. The record is from RefSeq and is a predicted model, not a curated record. The transcript has 10 exons.
UCGCAAAACAAUGGGCCAAAUCCUAUCCGAAUAAUCUUAUCAUAAACCCUCAAAACCAACACUGCCUCAGGCUAGCUAAACCAUGAAGAUGGGUUCAGCCUCAGCUGGUUUAGUUUCAAUCUUCAGCAAUGGCUACCGGAGUCUCAGUGCUCCAGUCUCCUCCUGGCGAACAUUAGCGUCUUCUUCUUUAUAUAAGCAUUACAAGAGGAAUAGCAAGAGUGCAGUUUUUUCUUGCUUGAGUUCAAGCAAGAUAGAGCUUUCUUGUUUAUCUUCCAAAGUGGAUGUUGCCCAAACAACGACUACUUCUGUUAAUGGCUAUCACAAAUAUGACCGGUUGCUUCCAUGUCCUUCAGAAAAUGGCCCACCAAGAGUUGAACACUUAGUUGUUUCAGAAGGAGGGCCUGUUCUGGAGUACAUCUGUAAAUCACUAGAUCUUCCUCCUCUGUUUGUUGCAGAUCUCAUCCAUUUUGGAGCAGUAUAUUAUGCCCUUGUGUGUCCACAACCUCCUCCAAGUGCCACCCCGGAGCAAAUUAGGAUAUUUAAAGAAGUAACAGCACCAUCAGUUUUAAGUAAAAGAACAUCCAUUAAGGGGAAAACCGUACGGGAGGCGCAAAAAACUUUCCGUAUAACUCACGUUGAGCAGUUUGUUGAAGCUGGAACAUACUUACGUGUGCAUGUACACCCGAAACGUUUUCCAAGGUGUUAUGAAAUUGACUGGAAAUCAAGAAUCAUAGCUGUGACUGACUCCUAUGUGGUUUUGGACAAACCUGCCGGUACAUCUGUUGGAGGAACUUCAGACAAUAUAGAAGAAAGUUGUGCAACAUUUGCUAGUCGUGCCUUGGGAUUUUCCACCCCAUUGAAGACUACUCAUCAGAUAGAUAAUUGCACGGAAGGCUGUGUUGUAUUAGCUAGGACUAAGGAGUAUUGCUCAAUUUUUCAUGGAAAAAUCAGAGAGAAAAAGGUAAAGAAACUAUAUCUUGCUCUCACAGCUGCACCUGUACCAAUUGGAAUAAUAACACACUAUAUGCGUCCAAUCAAUGUUGCUCCUAGACUCGUCUCAGAGGAUUUUAUUAAAGGAUGGUACUUGUGUAAACUUGAGGUUAUGGAAUGCAAGGAGGUUCCCUGGCCAGAUCCUGUCAUUCAACAAAAGUACUGUAUUGAGGAUUCUGAGUGGCCCUCGAAAGAUCGUGCUUAUGAGUGUAAAAUAAACCUUUUGACUGGUCGGACUCAUCAGGUUCGUGCACAACUGGCUGCCUGUGGGGCACCAAUAGUGGGCGACUCGAUGUACAUGCCAGCUGCUAUUGCAGAGAUGGCAAACCCUGGGCUUAACCCAUUUGGUAAAUACAAAAAGUACACUACUGAGAGUGAUAAAGAAAUGACUGUCACAAAGUGGUUUGCCCGGUUUGGGAAAGAGCCAAAGGUUGCCAUUGGUCUGCAAGCUUGUGAAAUUUCAUGGGAUGAUGGUGAGCACUUUUAUGAAGCCAGAUCUCCCUGGUGGAGAUCUGGAAUGGCUUAAAUUGUAUACGAUGGGAGAAGGAUAAUCAGUCAUUUAAAGGUACAUGCCUCGUGUUAAUCUUGUUGUGAAGGUCUCAUUUCUAUUUACAAAGGGACUCUACAAUUUUAGUAACCAGCAUGAAGGGUCACGUGGCAGUUUCAAUUUGUAGAUGUUUCCAGUUAGAAAGGCCCUCUUUGGCUCAUUUUGAAUUGCUAGAUCCUCCAUUUCCCUUUUCCCUUGGGUUGUGAUUUUUCUUGUAACCUUUGUAGUGGUUGUAAGUGAGAUAUGGUUGAUGUUGUUUCCAAAUAGUUGAGCACUAAAUAGUUAAAAAUUUAAUUUAUUAGUCUCUUGCAGCUUCA